UGUGCUCUUCUGAUCUGUCACUUAUCCUGCAGUACCCCAAUGACAUAUGUCUUGAGUCUUGACGACGUGGUCAUGCAAAUGGCCCAUCUAGGAGGGAUUUCCUCAGAAACGACUGUUUUUUCUUCUGGGUUUAUCUGACCCUCUGAGACUUAUGAAGAACAGUAACAACUAGAGAUACUGUACUGUUUCACCACUGGCCACAGGUUCUACUGAAUCUAAGCUUUGAAGAAAAAUCCUCACUUUCUAGUCCUUUUGAUUAAACCCAUAAAUCACAGACCUUCACUGAAGUAUAGCCCAGCUUAGUAGGUGGACAACUUGUAACCACAGAUCAGUAAACAGUACACAGUGCCACUCUAACAGUCAUCACCUACAAAACCUGCAUAAAAAUAGCAGUUAAAUACACACCUGAACCAUGCUUCUAUCUGGGUUCUACAGGAUGAAUUUGGACAUGCCUUUAGUAUUAAGAAAAAAGCAAGAUUGUUCAAGCAUUUCAAAAGCCCUCUAAAGAAGAGAUGAGGGCCUGAUAGGUUCUUCCUCUCCAGAAAUGGAAUGUAUCUGCUUC
Molecule: long non-coding RNA, 562 nt
Organism: Cygnus olor (mute swan)
Lineage: Eukaryota; Metazoa; Chordata; Aves; Anseriformes; Anatidae
Exons: 3
Source: RefSeq, a predicted model, not a curated record